RNAcentral lists this ribosomal RNA (450 nucleotides) under uncultured bacterium. Its description in RNAcentral is "partial 16S ribosomal RNA". It matches the Rfam family "Bacterial small subunit ribosomal RNA", at positions 354 to 796 of the family's 1533-position model. The record is from RNAcentral.
GUGGGGAAUUUUGGACAAUGGGCGCAAGCCUGAUCCAGCAAUGCCGCGUGCAGGAAGAAGGCCUUCGGGUUGUAAACUGCUUUUGUACGGAACGAAACGGUCCGGGUUAAUACCCUGGGCUAAUGACGGUACCGUAAGAAUAAGCACCGGCUAACUACGUGCCAGCAGCCGCGGUAAUACGUAGGGUGCAAGCGUUAAUCGGAAUUACUGGGCGUAAAGCGUGCGCAGGCGGUUGUGUAAGACAGGCGUGAAAUCCCCGGGCUCAACCUGGGAAUUGCGCUUGUGACUGCAAGGCUGGAGUGCGGCAGAGGGGGAUGGAAUUCCGCGUGUAGCAGUGAAAUGCGUAGAUAUGCGGAGGAACACCGAUGGCGAAGGCAAUCCCCUGGGCCUGCACUGACGCUCAUGCACGAAAGCGUGGGGAGCAAACAGGAUUAGAAACCCGAGUAGUCC